ACGGCUCCAUACGGCAUUGUUCUUGAUUCCCGUCGUAACUUAAAGGGAAACUUACACAAUGUCCGGAGGCCUUGACGUCCUGCAAAUGAAGGAGGAAGAUGUCCUCAAAUUCCUUGCUGCAGGAACCCACUUAGGUGGCACCAGUCUUAACUUUCAGAUGGAGCAAUACAUCUACAAAAGGAAGAGUGACGGUAUCUACAUCAUCAGUCUGAAGAGGACCUGGGAGAAGCUGUUGCUCGCAGCUCGAGCUAUUGUUGCCAUCGAGAACCCUGCUGAUGUCAGCGUCAUCUCCUCCAGGAACACUGGCCAGCGAGCUGUGCUCAAGUUUGCUGCUGCCACAGGCGCCACUCCUAUUGCCGGCCGCUUCACACCUGGGACCUUCACUAACCAGAUCCAAGCAGCCUUCAGGGAGCCACGGCUUCUAGUGGUGACUGAUCCCAGGGCGGACCACCAGCCCCUCAUGGAGGCCUCUUAUGUCAACCUGCCCACCAUUGCUCUGUGUAACACAGAUUCUCCUCUGCGCUAUGUGGACAUUGCCAUCUCAUGCAACAACAAGGGAGCUUACUCAGUGGGUCUGAUGUGGUGGAUGCUGGCCAGGGAAGUACUCCGCAUGCGAGGUACUAUCUCCCGUGAGCACCCAUGGGAGGUUAUGCCUGAUCUUUACUUCUACAGAGACCCAGAGGAGAUUGAGAAGGAGGAGCAGGCUGCUGCGGAGAAGGCUGUGACCAAGGAGGAGUUCCAGGGCGAAUGGAUCGCACCAGCUCCUGAGUUCACUGCUGCUCAGCCUGAGGUCGCCGACUGGUCUGAGGGUGUACAAGUACCCUCUGUGCCCAUCCAGCAGUUCCCGACGGAAGACUGGAGUGCACAGCCAACCACUGAGGACUGGUCAGCAACUCCCACAGCGCAGGCCACCGAGUGGGUUGGAGCCACCACUGAGUGGUCCUGAGCCGCUGCAGACACCUGAGCAGAGGGAAAGGUGGAAGGAAAAUAAAGUUCCUAAAAGCUGAAAAAAAAAAAAAAAAAAAAA
Molecule: RNA transcript, 1027 nt
Organism: Mastomys coucha (southern multimammate mouse)
Lineage: Eukaryota; Metazoa; Chordata; Mammalia; Rodentia; Muridae
Gene name: 40S ribosomal protein SA pseudogene
Exons: 1
Source: RefSeq, a predicted model, not a curated record